AUUUUUAUUAAAUACACUGUAGUACAAGAGACUUUCCAUGUCAGGUUGAGAGAAGCUGGUCACAUGAUUCACAAACAAAACUUGCUUUUUAAACACUGAUACUCAGAUGUCACUUUGAAAUCAGCCAAGAUGCAAGUGGGCCUUUUUUUUUUUUUUUUUUUUUAAAGCAAUGGACCUCUAUAACAAACUGCAAAAAUGAGAACCACUAGGCAUCUGUACAGAGACAUCACAACAAAUAAAAUGAAAGGAAAAUUAAGGAAAAUAAAUUGAACAGAGGGAGAAAGAGAGAAAGGGGAUGAGAGAGAAAGAGUGCUCCAAACACCAGGUCAUGGAUUAGUGAAAAGUUUAUCCAUAGAGAGAUAUUGAAAUGUAUGUAUAUACUGUCUGGAUAUAUACAAACAUCUCUCUAUAUACAUACACAAAUGUAUAUAAUUCCUGUAUCUCUACACAGAUACAUGAAGUAUAGGUAGACCAGAGCAGGAACCAAUAUUUCAUCAAAAUUUGGUCUUUUUUUUUUUAAAGGGUUACAUAAUUGAAAUCCACAUUUAAUUCAAAGACCUUAUUAUUUAAAACAGAUUCAGUUGUUUCACACAAAUAGUUUUUUCUUUAAGCGACAGAAAUAUACACAUAAGCUGCAAGAUAUAGGCCUCUAUAGACAUCCCAUUCCACUUCAUCUUCAUUUUUCUUUUCUGUUCAAUUAUUUGGCUACUAACAGCUUCUAGGAUACUCAUCCAAUACACUUCCUUUUCAAAAAGAUGUAUGUCUAGUUACUCUUUGCUUGGGGCUUCUUUGAUGCAGAAACUGAACUGAUAAACAUCGACCUGGCCCUAGAAUGCAUAGACUGUAAAAUAAUACCCCCCCCAUCUUUCCCCACUUCUCCUGAGACAUAUAUUUAGAUGGCAAAAGAAAAGUUUGGUUGCUGUUGUGAAAUUCACAGUGUUUUGCUUGCAACGCACAAACCUUUGUUAUUGUUUUUUGCUUUGUAUUUGUGACGAAUGUAGCAAAGAAGGAAGAAAAAAAUUGGGGAAAAUGCAAGUAAACAACCCAAAUGCAGGUUCUUUAAGGACCCCUUGACUGGAGCAGUAGUGAUUCAUUCCAGCCCUGACGACAAGAACUCAUAUAACUUUCUGUGCUAUUGAAACCUGGGUCUUUAACUGUAAAUCCCGACCUCUUGCCCAAUCCAAAUUCACUAGAAUAACAUUUUGAUGUCCAUUUACAAACUAUGGUAGCCUUAGAGGAGAGUCUUGGUGAGUUUUAGUAUGCAUCACCAAUGUACUCAACUUGUGACCUGGACAUCUGGGGAUUUAGAACAUUGGCUGCAUCCUGAGAUACUUCUCAUUUCAUUUCUUUUGUAAUAGCAAGACAAAGACAAGCCACAGUCCAAAAGGAAAAAUCUCUGAGUGGUAAAAAGAAGAGAAAAAAGAAAAGAGGGAGUGGAGGGGUGAGAGAGGAGAGGAGAGGGGGGAAAAAGAGGGAGAGAGAGGGAGGAAGAAAGAAAAGGAAAGAGAGAAUGAAGAUGAAGGGAAGAGAGGAGAGAGGUAGGGAAGGAGAAAGAAAGAAAGGGAAAGAGAGGAGGAAAGGAAAAGAGAAAGAAGGGAAAAGAAAAGAUGGGGAAAGAGGGAGAGAAGGGGGAGGGAGAAAGAGGAAGAUAAGGAAGAGAGGAGAAGGAAAAAGACAGAGGGGGGAAGGUGGGAUGUAGCUAUUUAUUGAGUCAGAGACCAUGUAUCUCUAUAAACCAUGCUGUUCUAAAAAAAAUUAAAGGGUGGAGAGAAGUCCAUUUAUGACAAGGAGGCCAUGUAUCCUUCCAUAAAAGACUGCAUUCCAUCCAGCUUGUUUGUAUUCUGCAGAUUUAGGGAGGUUGAAGGGGAGAAUGUGGGAAGCGCCUAACAUUUGCUGCUAUUAUUCCAGGGUCUUGGACUUCUCACCAUUGUUCUCUUAGAAAGGGGGAGGCAUUGUGCCCCAAACAUUCCAGUUUUUCCUUUGGAAUUCUUGGUUUCUGUACACCAAUAUAAAAUCCCCAGAGGGCACAAGUAUCAAAAUGGGACAAUAGAAAAAUAAUGAUACUGAGCAAUAAAAACCAAAAUUUCUCUUUACUUUACACUGAGAAUUACUUUCUUAAUCCAAUCUGCUGCGCAAGAAAUUGGUGAAUGCACAAAAUGGGGUGUGAUGGUUCUCAUACCAACAUUCUAAAUAUGCAGGGUCUCCCAUUUGUCCUACUACUGUAGGAGACAUUAGAGAAAGGAAACAUUAAUUACAAGAUGAUUUUUAAAAACUAAAAAUUUGGUUAUUUAUCAGUUUAGCUCAAUCUAGCAAUACUUUAUUCUAAUUACAGCUAUUCCUAUGAAUGUGGGGGUAUACAUUUAUACAUAAACACGUAAGCACACUGUGUGUGCAUGUUUGCACAUGUAUAAACCAAAUGCAACAUAUAUAAAUACAUGUAAAUACCACAUGUGUAACUUAUGUAAAUAUACACACCUAGAAUGUGAAUUAUUUGUAUGAUCCUUUACAGCAUAGUCCAGAAAGGUUUCUAAAUAAGCCUGAUUGUCAUAUUUGCUCAGCAUGUCAGGGCUUCAUUAAAACUGAGCAUAAUUAGCAUAGAAGCAGCUCACCUCUUGGCUAUCUAUUUUUCUUCUCUUGCUUUUCUGCUUAUUCGGCUAACUUUAAACCCCAAGGGUGAAUUAAGGAACGCAGAUUUUUCUUUUGUUCACUGCUCAUUUGCAUGGGCUAUAGUUUUGAUCUCAGGUGUAUCUUGGUGGAGGAUAUAUAUAUGUGUACACAUAUAUCCAUAGAAGUUUGCCACAUUUCCUGAGCCCUACCUCAGGAUGGACAGUCCAGAAAAGGGUUUUCAGUAACAUUCAAAAUCAACUUAAAAAGGGAGCUGGUCCCAGAAAGAUUUGGACUUCCUAGUUCUCUUAGGAACAUUGGAAUAACUUGAUUUGGAUUAGGCCACUAGGUCCUUUAGA
RNAcentral lists this long non-coding RNA (2963 nucleotides) under Sarcophilus harrisii (Tasmanian devil). RNAcentral describes it as "lncRNA (ENSSHAG00000024385.1)". The record is from RNAcentral. Lineage: Eukaryota; Metazoa; Chordata; Mammalia; Dasyuromorphia; Dasyuridae.